UUACUAUUGAAAGUUUGAAAAACUUGACAAAUCUUCAGCAUCUUGGUAUUUCGAGGUUAGAAAAUGUGGGAGAUGUGGGUGAAGUUAAGCGAGCAAACCUUAGGAAUAACACAAACCUCCUCUCUUUAGUUUUAGAUUUUGGAAUUGAAUCUACAUUAAUGCAAAGGGUUGAGCGUGAGAGAGAUGAAAUGGUUGUUGAGGCCUUUGAACCACCUCCAAAUUUAGUGAAAUUAUGUAUAAAGGAUUGUGGAGGUAAAACUAUAAGGCUAAAUUGGAUAGCAUCAUUAACUCAGUUGAGGGAGUUAACACUUAUUCAUUGCUACAACUGUGAGUAUUUGCCUCCUUUCGGAAAGUUAUCAUCUCUUGAAUCACUCUUUAUAGAUUGGCCUUUGAGUGUAAAAAAGGUGGGUAAUGAAUUUUUGGGAAUAGAAAGUGAUGGCAAUGCCAGAUCUUGUAUUGUCUUUCCCAAAUUAAAAAGGCUUGUGUUUGAUCGAAUGAAUGGAUGGGAAGAAUGGGAUGAUAUUACUUUUAAAGGAGAUGAAUUAGCUAUCACAAUCAUGCCAUCUCUACAUUACUUGAAGAUUUCUGGAGCCCACAAAUUAAAAACGCUCCCCAAUUACAUUCUUCAAUCACCAACACUAAAACAAUUGGAGAUAGAGUAUUGCAUUAUUCUAAGUCAGCGUUACAAGAAGGAGACAGGUGAAGAUUGGCACAAGAUCUCUCACAUUCCUGAUGUCACCAUCUUCCCUAAUAAUGUUAGAUUCCUGACACAAGACGAAGACGAGGAAAGUGACGAAGACAGUUAUAGUCUCUCUAUAGAUUACACUCUUCAAUCGCCAACAUGAAAACAAUUCUACGUCCGCAUUACAAGGAGGAGAUAGGUGAAGACUGGCUUGUUGAAAUAUGAUUACAAGAGCUACAAUCGCCAUCCACUCACUGUCGCCAGUUUAUGCAGGCAAGGUGUUUGAAAGAUGAAAUGGAUGAACCAAGGCUUGCGUUUCAGGGGACCUUAUGGAUAUUGCAUUCUAGCUUUCACUCAGAAUGACCUUUUAAAAUGAUUGAUGAAAAGAGCAAUGGACAGACUGGUUGAUGGCUAUUGUGGGAAAGUUUUCCCUGUGAAUGUUUUGGAUGAAUUUGUGUUAUUCUUUGCUGUUAUAAGGUGGCAUCUUCCUCCUACGGCUUUCAAUGCUUUGGCCAUUAUUUCACAACCAAAGACUCUUAAUAAAAUAGGCUUUUGUUGAAUCCUCAUGUGUGUUUUCUAAGGACAACAGGGAAGAGUACGUUUCUUGAGGAGAAAACAAGGCAUCUUGGGAUAGAAUUUGUGCUGAUUUUUUUCUCAAGCGGGACAGACUGAAUGCUGGAGAAACAUUAUUUCUUAUGCAAUGAUGUGUGGUGUACAAUGGAGGAGGCCUAAUAUGGCUUCUAUGAA
Long non-coding RNA from Pistacia vera, 1429 nucleotides. RefSeq lists it as uncharacterized. NCBI's taxonomy places the organism in Eukaryota, Viridiplantae, Streptophyta, Magnoliopsida, Sapindales, Anacardiaceae. The record is from RefSeq and is a predicted model, not a curated record. The transcript has 4 exons.